RNAcentral lists this unclassified non-coding RNA (759 nucleotides) under uncultured bacterium. RNAcentral describes it as "partial contains 16S ribosomal RNA, 16S-23S ribosomal RNA intergenic spacer, and 23S ribosomal RNA". The stretch from base 629 to 759 matches the Rfam family "Bacterial large subunit ribosomal RNA", at positions 1 to 131 of the family's 2925-position model. The record is from RNAcentral.
UGCGGCUGGAUCCCCUCCUUUCUAGAGUUCCGAGCAAAGGCCUUUUUCACGAGAGACCGGCGCUCUACUCAGUUCUAAACCCCCACGGUGUUUGGGGUGCUGGAACGCAGAGGUAAACUUCCUAUCACUCCUCAGUUGUUGAGGUUGACCCUGGGCUUGUAGCUCAGUUGGUUAGAGCACUGUGCUGAUAACGCAGGGGUCACAGGUUCGAAUCCUGUCAAGCCCACUCACCCGGGCAGAAUGUCCUGGGGAUGUAGCUCAGCGGGAGAGCAGCGCCUUUGCAAGGCGAAGGUCACGGGUUCAAAUCCCGUCAUCUCCACUGAGUUAGAGAGUACGGAUCGGAGAGAAGCGAAACUUGUUGAGUGGUGUGAAGGUUUAGAAACAGUCAGAAUACACCGGAAUCGGAUCGUAAAACGACCCGGCGGUGUAUGCCGGGUCGAUUUGUGUCUCUGGAGCCCGGCAGGUUAACAAGUGAAGAUGGUUGAAGGGUGACCGAUGCCCUGGACAAGUUCGAGGGCGUCGUUCACCGGUCAACGGUGAUCGCACCUUAAAAACUGAAUAGCAAAUGAUGAUGUAGGCCGAUAAAGCAAUUUAUCGUAAGAAAAGUAUCAAAUUCUCCGCAUCACGUGGAGAAGCUACUAAGAGCUUAUGGUGAAUGCCUUGGCGCCAAGUGCCGAUGAAGGACGUGGGACACUGCGAAAAGCCUCGGGAAGCCGUGUACAGGCGCUGAUCCGAGGAUGUCCGAAUGGGGAAACCCGG